This 253-nucleotide ribosomal RNA is filed under the name uncultured bacterium. RNAcentral describes it as "partial 16S ribosomal RNA". It matches the Rfam family "Bacterial small subunit ribosomal RNA", at positions 524 to 776 of the family's 1533-position model. The record is from RNAcentral.
UACAGAGGGUGCAAGCGUUAAUCGGAAUUACUGGGCGUAAAGCGCUCGUAGGUGGUUUGUUAAGUUGACUGUGAAAUCCCGGGGCUCAACCUGGGAACUGCAUCCAAUACUGGCAAGCUAGAGUAUGGUAGAGGGUGGUGGAAUUUCCUGUGUAGCGGUGAAAUGCGUAGAUAUAGGAAGGAACACCAGUGGCGAAGGCGACCCCCUGGACUGUAACUGACACUGAGGUGCGAAAGCGUGGGGAGCAAACAGG